UUGACAUCUAUUCAUGUUAAAAUUUUCCUUUUCUUCUUAGGUCAAAUUUUCUGUUUGAUGGAUUUAAACUGCUACUUCUCUUGUCAGAAUUCAAGAGAGAACUUGAAUGCUGCUGAAUCAGAUAAUGGCCUUGAAGUAUUUGGGAUGUAAAACAGAGGCCCAAGGCUUGUGACAGGCAUCUCCCAAGUUUGUACAAAGUCAGGAUGAAUUCCUGCUGAGUGAAACAAAACAAGGAGAGGGACAUAGGUUCAGUUCUUCCUAGUGCCACACUUCCUCACUGGAGGCACAGGGUUUGUGAGCUGGAAGAGCAAAGGGCUGGAUGCCAAGUGACUGGACUCCAGCUGGGGACUUGAGGAAACUCCACUGCCUGUGCAGCCACCUCAUGGUCUUCAAAAAUAAGAAACUAGAGUUGACUUUGAGAAGAAAGCAAAGAAUUAAAGUUGUACUUCUGAGACACUUGGACUGAACCCAGCCAGGCAGGAGAAGCACGUACCAGAAUUAUCAGCCAUAAGUACAACGGGAACAAGAAGUUUGGAUGAUGAACAAGGAAUGGAUGUAGGAGCACAGCUGGCAUCUUCUUUGAGGUCACACUGCUCCCACAGAGACGUGCUGUGAAGGACAUACAAGUGUGUAGUAUCUACAGAGCUGCCCCUGUGAUGAGCUGUCCAUCUGUUCAAUGUACCAACAGAUAAUCUGGACUGAUUAAACCACAAAGAUCUCAUGUUGUGAAAUGUCUAACUUUUCCUUUGUUGUUCCAAGCGUAGUUUGACCUUCUUGUGCCUACCAGGGAUGUUUGAAUUGUAACAGACCUGCUACUGGACCUGUGGUGCAGAGCAACUUCAUGAAUUGAGUCAAAAGCUCUUGCACAUAGGGUGUUAUGAUAAAUUAGUAAUGCCUAUUCUGGAUCACUGGCUUUCUCUAAAUGCCAUUAUGUUCAUUGCAGCCUCAGUGGAUUCAGCUUUCACUGAACAGCAAAUGAUGACGUGGUAAGACUAGUCGUUUGCUACUUUGAUGAAGAGAGAUACUUGUGGAAUGAUUCCAGUAUGGCUUUUCCCCAGAAUCUCUUGGAAAUCACAUCUUGCAGAGGUGAAAUUCACAUAAUAACUGCAUUGAAACAAAAGCUCUUUAACUACAAGUAAUAUUUAUUUCUUAACAACUUAUAUGUUUCUUUGUCAACUGUAGUUGCAAGUUCAUAUAAUAUUCAGUGAGUGCUUCUCUGCCUCCUGAACUGUUUUAGGUCAGCCAUUUAGCAAACCCUUCACAUGAAUGUCAUGUUACUCUUGCUACAUUAAACAGCUGACAAAUUGUUACAAAGUUUUUUAAAUAUUUAUACUUCUCAUAUUGAGACUAGGUAUAUUACAGUGAUGUGUGGUCAUUCCAAGAUGUCAGAUCACAACAAAACCAUCUCUUCUUCAGGAUCAUCUGUAAUGCCUAUUUGUAGCAGAAAGUAGCAGAAGGAUGACCAUGAUAAUGAGUAGUCUUACAGUCUGAGGAAACAAAGUUAGUCAAAACCCUGAAGGAGAAGAGCUGACU
This is a long non-coding RNA of Cyanistes caeruleus (blue tit), 1533 nucleotides long. RefSeq lists it as uncharacterized. Lineage: Eukaryota; Metazoa; Chordata; Aves; Passeriformes; Paridae. The record is from RefSeq and is a predicted model, not a curated record.